RNAcentral lists this long non-coding RNA (1877 nucleotides) under Macaca fascicularis (crab-eating macaque). Its description in RNAcentral is "lncRNA (ENSMFAG00000064592.1)". Lineage: Eukaryota; Metazoa; Chordata; Mammalia; Primates; Cercopithecidae. The record is from RNAcentral.
AGACCCCCUGUGCUGGGGUGCUUCUGCAGCAAUGGUCGGUGCUGCGGGGGCCUGGAGAAGUCGGGGGCUUCUCCCCGACAGAGCACCAGGGGUGCUUGGUAGGAGGUGGGGCGUUUCUCUGGGGUAUCAGGACUUGACCCAUCAGUGGGCCUUUGUCCGAUGAAGAGCAGGCUUUGCCCGAGGGGGUCUUGCUCCAUCUUGAAAAGCUCGUACUCCACGUGUGGGAGCCGGAUGCCCAGCGGCAGGCAGCCAUUGGUGGCUGUGACAUCCCGCUCAGUGCCCACGGACCAGGCCCCCGCACCCCCACAGCUGCGUGGCUCAGAGAAGUUAAGCAUGGCCGUGGUGACCUGGUCCAUGGGGGUUACAUGGGCCCGUGUAACCUCGAACACCAGCUCGGUGCCGCCGCGGACCCUGGUGGACGGCGUGCCCCUGGUGUAUCGGCCGGCGGCAUACACGGUGAAGGUGGGCUGCUGGCAGGCUGGGUCUGAGAAGUGAUGGUAAUACCCUUCCCAGGAGCGGCUGUGCCCGUGGAAAGUGAAGAGCCGGGUGAGGAACAGGACCGCUGGGCGCACCUCACAUCCCGAGCUGACCCACCAGCCGCCCCAGGGCGCGAGGGGCAGGGCCAGAGGGGCGGCAGCACGGGCGGGUGGUGCACAUCAGAGCGGGCAAUGAGGCCACAGGCUGGGCACGGCCGCACGUGGUGCUGGCGAAAGACAAACAGAAAAACGGUGGUUGUCCCACAGGGAGAAGUUGGGGUGCAGCCUGGAAAGGAACCCCAGCUCUGUAGGGGUGAAAAGGCAGAGUGAGGUGCGGCCUGUCCCUCCCUCCUCUCUCUCUCACUCCCUGCCUUCAGUCAGGACGGCCUUUUUGCUUCAGUCAGGAGGGCCUCCUUGAUGGAGGUCAGCCCCUGUAUCCUCGGGCCUUGGGUCUCCUGCUGUCUGAACUCCCCGCCAGCUCCUUCUUACUAGGUCUCUGCUGGGCACCAGAGAGAGCUUUCCCGAAUGCCCCAUGUAAGGUGGGGCUCAGGGCUGGCACACCACCCUCUUUUAUCUUCCUCAUUCCACCCCCUGAGACUCUCUUCUCUCUAUCCCUCGCCCCUCAUCAAACUGGAAGGCAUUAUGCCUUACAGUCCUAAAACGCCCUAGAAAGCGCGAACUGCCUCUGCGGCUACCCCAUCCCCACAGCACAGGGCUUGGCUCGCAGCAAGCACACAUUUGUUGCAUGAAUAAAUGAGAAAUGAAUGGAAGCACAGGUGGCCUUCGUCUUGGGACCUGACAGAAGUUGUCCUUGCUCAAGCCCAGUGUGCUUGGUCCUGGAAUUUGACCGUGAAAGUUGAUCUUUUUUCUAGCUCACUCUUCUAGGUGUUUCCGAAGUGCCAGGAACUAUGCUAAGCACUUCCCGGGCAACUGGUACGUGUUAUAGCUGAGGGAGCUGAGACCCAGAGGACCGGCUGGACUGCCCAGGUUGUCCGGCCUGGAAGUGGCAGAGACCAGCUGAAAUGCAGCCUGGCUUGCACCCGGCUGUCUGAGCUCCCACUCUCCUGUGCUCAUAGCAGGUUACAUCUUCCCUACAGGUAGAGAAUAGAGGAUUUUUGUCUUUAGAAAUCUCACAGUGGAAGGUGCACAUCAUUUGCUCUACCUACCCCAUGGAAAGUGAAUAUGGCAACAAGGAUCAAAAGCCAUCAAAACAUGUCUGAGCCGAGCGUGGUGGCUCACACCUAUAAUCCCAGCACUUUGGGAGGCUGAGGUGGGCAGAUCACUUGAGAUCAGGAGUUCAAGACCAGCCUGGCCAACACGGUGAAAACCCACCAGAAAUACAAAAAUUAGCCAGGUGUGGCAGCACAUGCCUGUAAUCCCAGCGACUCGGGAGGCUGAGGC